CCUGGACAUGGUGGCACACACCUGUAGUCCCAGUUACUUGGGAGGCUGGUGCGGGGAAGGGGGUGGGGGUCACUUGAGCUCAAGAGUUCUGGGCUGUAGUACACUAUGCCAACCUAUCAGGUGUCCACACUAAGUUUGGCAUCAAUAUGGUGACCUCCUGGGAGUGGGUUCCACCACGUUGCCUAAGCAGGGGUGAACUAGCCCAGGUCGGAAACAGAGCAGGUCAAACUUCCCAUGAUCUCAUUGCACCACUCUUCUCCAGCCUAGGCAACACAGUGAGAUCCCCAACUCU
Unclassified non-coding RNA from Callithrix jacchus (white-tufted-ear marmoset), 292 nucleotides. It matches the Rfam family "Metazoan signal recognition particle RNA". Rfam says of the family: The signal recognition particle (SRP) is a universally conserved ribonucleoprotein. It is involved in the co-translational targeting of proteins to membranes. The record is from Ensembl. Lineage: Eukaryota; Metazoa; Chordata; Mammalia; Primates; Cebidae.